CAUGUGUACACGUAGAAGCAAAAAUGGAUAGGCUACAUGCGUACACGUAGAAGCAGCAAAUAGAUUGACGAACUAUAAGGUAUACGAUAUUGCUCGCAAGCAUCGUAUAACUAACAGUCCGAAAUCGAGGAGUAAAAGCAAAAUGAUUAUGAUUGAGGAGUAAAUGAAAUCUAGUCUAUAGAUAAUACCUAAACAGAUGGUAGACAGACGCAGGAAAUAAGAUAAUGGACUAAUAGGUAGACUUAUAGAAUGGAGAUGAAGGACAGACUAACAAAUACUUAGACACAAGAUGGAAAUCUAAAUAUAAACUAAAUACAUAAGAUAUAAAUAACAUAUAAAUAACCUAAACUAAGGCACAAACUAAUGAAAGGCUAAGGC
Molecule: long non-coding RNA, 378 nt
Filed under: Elaeis guineensis (African oil palm)
Lineage: Eukaryota; Viridiplantae; Streptophyta; Magnoliopsida; Arecales; Arecaceae
Description: long non-coding RNA (EGUI_LNC045653)
Source: RNAcentral